This 765-nucleotide ribosomal RNA is filed under the name uncultured bacterium. RNAcentral's name for it is "bacterial SSU rRNA". It matches the Rfam family "Bacterial small subunit ribosomal RNA", at positions 8 to 796 of the family's 1533-position model. The record is from RNAcentral.
AGAGUUUGAUCCUGGCUCAGGACGAACGCUUGCGACGUGCCUAAGAAAUGCAAGUCGAGCGAGGCAGCAAUGCCUAGCGGCGAACGGUCGCGUAACACGUAAGCAACCUGCCCCAAAGACCGGGACAACGUUCCGAAAGGAGCGCUAAUACCGGAUGUGCCCGUCGGGUGACAUCGCCUGAUGAGUAAAUCGAGCAAUCGGCUUUGGGAGGGGCUUGCGGCCUAUCAGCUAGAUGGUGGGGUAACGGCCUACCAUGGCGACGACGGGUAGCUGGUCUGAGAGGAUGGUCAGCCGGAUUGGGACUGAGAUACGGCCCAGACUCCUACGGGGGGCAGCAAUUAGGAAUCUUGCGCAAUGGGCGAAAGCCUGACGCAGCGACGUCGCGUGGGGGAGGAAGGCUUUCGGGUUGUAAACCCCUUUUAUCGAGGAAGAAACAAAUGACGGUACUCGAUGAAUAAGCCCCGGCUAACUCCGUGCCAGCAGCCGCGGUAAUACGGAGGGGGCUAGCGUUGUCCGAAGUUACUGGGCGUAAAGCGCGCGUAGGCGGGUUGGUAAGUCCGCUGUGAAAGCCCGGAGCUUAACUCCGGAGGGUCGGUGGAUACUGCCAGUCUUGAAGGUGCUAGGGGGAGAUGGAAUUACCGGUGUAGCGGUGAAAUGCGUAGAUAUCGGUAGGAACACCAGUGGCGAAGGCGGUCUCCUGGGGCAUUCUUGACGCUGAGGCGCGAAAGCUGGGGGAGCAAACGGGAUUAGAUACCCUAGUAGUCC